Molecule: long non-coding RNA, 2413 nt
Organism: Pezoporus occidentalis (night parrot)
Lineage: Eukaryota; Metazoa; Chordata; Aves; Psittaciformes; Psittacidae
Exons: 3
Source: RefSeq, a predicted model, not a curated record
CGCGUCCGUAAAUCCCGCUUCGUUAUCUCACUGGAAUUCCUGUUUUAAUCCAUUUGCUAGUUAGCUACCUCUGCAGUGACGCUGCUCUGCUGCUGCUUGUAAGGCUGCGUGGUUAAAGGCAACACUUGAAAGGCAGAGGUAAAUCUAAACAACCACCCAGCAGCAGACCCGGCCAAGCCUGGUGCUGCCCGCACCUCUGCUUCAUCAGAGCGGCGGCAGUGCCGGUGGAUCUGUCUGAAGGGUCAUAAACGGGGUAAUGCAAAUAAAAUACAUUUGGUGGUAAAUAUUAUGGGAUUAUGCUGCUGUUUGUGUAUAUUAUUGCAGAUAUUUACUUGGAUUACUCAGACCUGUUGGAGUGAGUCCAGAGGAGGCCAUGAGGAUGCUCAGAGAGCACCUCCGCUCUGGAGACAGGCUGAGACAUCUGGGCUUGUUCAACUUGAAGAAGGCUCUGAGGAGACCUUGUAACAGUCUUCCGAUACCUAAAGGGACUACAAGAAAUCUGGAGAGGGGCUUUUUACAAGGGCAUGUAGGGACAGGACAAGGGAAACGGAUUUAACCCGAAAGAGGGGAUAUUUAGGUGAGAUGUUAGGAAACAAUGCUUCCCUUUGAGGGUGCUGAGGCGCUGGCACAGGGUGCCCAGAGAAGCUGUGGCUGCCCCAUCCCUGGCAGUGUUCAAGGCCAGGUUGGACACAGGGGCUUGGAGCAAGCUGCUCCAGUGGAAGGUGUCCCUGCCCAUGGCAGGGGUUGGAACUGGAUGAGCUUUAAGGUCCCCUCCAACACAAACCAUUCUAGGAUUAAAAGAUGCAACUGUGGUGUUUUCACCCGAACAGCAGCAGAUCCUGCUGGCUGGCAAGUCAGGUGAUUUGUAUCCCUUUAAUCAAGGGCCCCAAUGCUUAAUUACAUCUUACUUAAACAACUAUAAUGUUAAUUUAUCUUAAUUAUACUUUAGCAGCUCUUGCCCAACAUACACACUAUUAUUUAAACCCCCCAUCCCAUAGCGGGGCUGCACGGGGUCCCUCAGUUGCCUCCCUUUGCUGCACUGAUGGGUCUUAAAGCAGAGCUGAGCUUCAGGAGUUAAUCCACACUUCGUGUUUGUAUUCAAACAUCAGCUCCUGUUUGUGAACUAAAUCUACAUGGCAGGUGUUAAUUGAGUGCUAAUUUACUCGAAUUCCUCGUCGUGAGAGUGAUUAAGGGAGGAAGCGAGGCGCUGGCGGUUGGAGAGGUAAUUUGCCUUUUAAGCAAUAACGAUUAAAAACCCCUUUAGUUUGCACAGCGUAUUAAAAGAAGGUGACUGCAGGGAGCUGUGAGCAUGUUGAAGGUCAGGCUCUGUGCUCACACAGGCUCCCUGCAUCUCAUCCUCUUCAAUGAGAGUGCGGUCUGCUUGUUUGAGAAGUAAAGCUGCCUACAAGGCAUCGCUUUAUGCACUUAAAGGCUGGACACGACUAGGAUGGCUUGCGUGGAAGAGAAGGAACAGGAAAACACGAGAUCCAGAAGGCAGGAAUAGCAUUGAAAGAACUAGAAGCUGAACCGAUAGAGGCAGAGGAAUAAACCUCCCAGCCUAUGCUAAGGUGUGUUUUGGGUGGUUAUCCCACAGCAUGUCCUGGCUGGUGGUCUGAUGCUUCUGCCUUAUAAACCUGUUGUCACCAAAGCAGGAGGAUCCAGAGAUGAAUCAAAGCUCCUGAGCCUGCUUAUCCUCUCUUCCCACUGCUCGUGAGGCCGCCGUGCUGCCCGUGCUCUUGUGCAAUGAGAGGGCUGCAGUGACAAUGGAGGAAGCAUCGACACUGGAGUGUUUAAGCUCUCACAAACACCUCGUAUGACAGUGGAUGUGCCAUACCCCGUGCCCAAGGAGGACAAAAGGUGAGUUUCAAUGAAUGGCUGUGGCAUUCGGGUUCCACAGGGUACCGUGUGCCUGGCUUGUGCCGAGCAGUGAACUCCUCAUCCCUGGGGAGCCCACAUAGGAGGAUGGGGGCUGCACAGCCAGACCCCCCCAGGAGAUGAGACCAGGCUAAUUUUAACUACAUGGACAGCAUUUGAUAUGGAAGCAGCUGGUGUCAUACAAAUCCACAGACCUGUCAGGCAGCACAGGGCAUCGCUAAAGCAAGGAUGUUCAUUUCCACCCAAAAGCAACCUAGAAAGCCAGCCUUGAUUUAGUCUGCACCUGACCCAAUAUCGAUCAGAGCUCUAGCUCUGUAACCAUAGAUGUGCAACACCCAAACUCUUAGAUUUUAAUGCCAUCUUAUUAGAAAAGUAAGGCAGGACUCAUUUUUCUCGCCCCAUGUUGCAUUUCAUGCUAGUACAUACCUGCUCCUGUUUCCAGCUGGUGGAGAGGUUUUCUGAUCAUACUCUCUUUGUUCCCCUCUUGUGACAAGGUUUUCUACAGUUAAAAGUUUAUCUAAUGAAAGCCAGCACCAUA